CACUUCGCCGUCGACCGUCGGAGUCGGAGGUCGAACAGAUCCACCGAGCGUCCGAGCCCUAUCGCCCCCGACGCCGGGCGAUGUCCUCGCCGGCGGCGCAUCAGGUCGCCGGCGCCCCGGCGUCGCAGCCGAUCUUCCCCGACGAGAUCCUCGAGGAGAUCUUUCUCCGCCUCGACGCCGGGGAAGACCUCGUCCGCGCCUCCGCCGCCUGCACGACCUUCCGCCGCGUCGUCUCCGCGCGUCGCUUCCUUGACCGCUUCAGGUGCCUCCACCCCCCGCCCGUCCUCGGAUUCCUCGAGUUCGACGCACUGGGAACAUUCCACCCCGCGGAGCCGCCCCACCGCGCCGCCCCCGCCGCACGCGCCCUCGCGCAGGCCUCCGACUUCACCUUCUCCUUCCUCGGCAGGCCUCACUACUGGCGGGUCUGCGAUGCCCGCGACUCCCGCGUCCUCCUCCGUCGCGUCAGAGUCACCACCGUGUUAGCUGGCCUCGUGGUCUGCGACCCCUUGCACCGCCGGCACGUCGAGCUACCUGCCAUCCCCGACAAACUUGCGGCUGCUACUGGGUGCCGGGGCUUGCAGGAAUUCGAUCCCUUCCUCGAUCCAGACACUGGCAAGGACAAGGAGAAGCAGGAUUUGUCAUUCCGGGUGAUCUGCGCCGUUCAGUGCGAACACAUGCUCGUGACCUUCGACUUCUCUUCAGUCACCGGGCAAUGGCGAGGCAUGACGUUCAAUAGACCAGUUCCUUUGAACGAUACCUCUGUUAGGUUUCCGAAGCUGUUCGAGCGCCACUAUGCACACAGCUGCUACUUCUGGACGAUCGCUCUCGGCGGCAAUUUUAUGUUCAUGCUCAACAUGCAUGAUUUGGAACUCUCUGUUGUUGACCUGCCUCCUGGUGUAUUUUGCCCUCGAGAACAGGCCAUUGUGGAGGCAGGGGAAGACAUGAUAGGUCUGUUCAAUCUUAGUGAUGGCAUGCUGCAGCUCUACUAUAAGUCAUUGCGAGGAACUGAGUGGCACCACGAAAGGAUAAUCCCCUUGCCCAGACUGAACAGUUACUGGAGCAUCCUCGAUGCAGCUGCAGGGCACUUACUCCUACAAGCGACGCCACAGGAUUGUUCCCCUUAUGCAAAGCCGGAGUCACAGUAUUUCACACUCAAUCUCAAGACAUUCCUUGUUGAGGGGCUUUGCGUUUCGAAUCGGCACAUUACAGGUGCUCACCUGUAUGCGAGUUUUCUGUUACCAUUGUCACAGCCAAGCAUAUGAUAUGUAUUGUUCACCGUGUCAGUGCCAAUCAACAUGUUUCACUACCAACUUCAGGUCUGCUGUCUCGACAUUUUGGUCAGGAAUUCCCAGGGUGAUACCAUGGCAGUUGGCAGUAUCUUUGUCUGAUGACCUAAGAUCAAGAACAUUGUACAUGGCAUCAGGUGCUCCUGUCUAGAUGACAUCUAGUUGUAGUUUGAUCGGCUGUUUUGUUUCUGCAGUUUUUUUUCACCCAUUCAAUGUAGAAGAAUUUGAAUUUUAGAAUCGAAGGUUCAUAUUAUAAGACUUCUCAACUCUUAUCCAUUUUUUUUGGAAUGAACUGGUGGCCUUAUGUUGUAUUUUGGAGCUAUUCAGUACAAAAUAGGGGCACUAUGGAAGCCUUUUCACUGA
RNA transcript from Sorghum bicolor (sorghum), 1649 nucleotides. RefSeq lists it as uncharacterized. The record is from RefSeq and is a predicted model, not a curated record. The transcript has 3 exons. NCBI's taxonomy places the organism in Eukaryota, Viridiplantae, Streptophyta, Magnoliopsida, Poales, Poaceae.